This 253-nucleotide ribosomal RNA is filed under the name uncultured bacterium. Its description in RNAcentral is "partial 16S ribosomal RNA". It matches the Rfam family "Bacterial small subunit ribosomal RNA", at positions 524 to 776 of the family's 1533-position model. The record is from RNAcentral.
UACGUAGGGGGCUAGCGUUGUCCGGAAUCAUUGGGCGUAAAGCGCGUGUAGGCGGUCCGGUAAGUCCGCUGUGAAAGUCGAGGGCUCAACCCUCGAAUGCCGGUGGAUACUGUCGGGCUUGAGUACGGGAGAGGCGAGUGGAAUUCCUGGUGUAGCGGUGAAAUGCGCAGAUAUCAGGAGGAACACCGAUGGCGAAGGCAGGUCUCUGGGCCACUACUGACGCUGAGAAGCGAAAGCGUGGGGAGCGAACAGG